AUACUAUUAAGAAAAAUUACAAAGUAAAAUGAAAGUUAUUAUUUCCUAUGUUUCAUUGUAUACAGCAACGUUUGACUUGCAUACGAAAUUAAGGAAGAAAAAAGAUUUCAGAAACAUCUAGCAUAACAAACACCUAUAAGAAUAUGUUUUUUUUUUUAGAAGAAAAUUUUUUGUAUUUCAACUAAUAUAGCAAAAUUACAUCAUCUGUUUUUUUGGACUCUAGAACAGUUUUCAUAUGUACAAUCAUUUUGAAAAGCUCUACAACUAUUGUUGUUAAACUAUUGUCUUAUUACAUAAAUUGCUAUAUUUGUGGAACUUCAUACGGAGUAGCUAUUUAUGUUCUGUAACAUGGGUGACCAUUUAGGUAUCUUUUCGCCAGUGAAGUGCACUUGAAUUGUGAUCUCCUUUGCU
RNAcentral lists this long non-coding RNA (411 nucleotides) under Nicotiana benthamiana. RNAcentral describes it as "long non-coding RNA (NBEN_LNC002383)". The record is from RNAcentral. Lineage: Eukaryota; Viridiplantae; Streptophyta; Magnoliopsida; Solanales; Solanaceae.